This is a long non-coding RNA of Manduca sexta (tobacco hornworm), 244 nucleotides long. RefSeq lists it as uncharacterized. NCBI's taxonomy places the organism in Eukaryota, Metazoa, Arthropoda, Insecta, Lepidoptera, Sphingidae. The transcript has 2 exons. The record is from RefSeq and is a predicted model, not a curated record.
GAUGGAUAUUAUAUAAAUAUCUUCCCAGGAUCAUGUGCAAAGUCUGGAAUCCCUCAAAGCUGAGCUGGCUUUGGUCAGUGACAAGAAGGCAGACCUGGAACGGAGGCUGACGAGCUCCCUCAAGAACAAGGAAGGACUGAUGCAGCAGCUUGAAGAAGCCAACGACAGGAUCGUGGCUUUGGAGAGGCAGCUCAAGGAACAGGAACAUCUCUACCAAAACACACUUAAAGAAUUAGAACGGCUA